This 810-nucleotide long non-coding RNA is filed under the name Heterocephalus glaber (naked mole-rat). RNAcentral's name for it is "lncRNA (ENSHGLG00000043712.1)". The record is from RNAcentral. Lineage: Eukaryota; Metazoa; Chordata; Mammalia; Rodentia; Bathyergidae.
CCAGGUUUUUGCAAAUACCAUUUCCCUCUUCUCUCCUUCCUCCUCCCUCACUUUUAGGGCCCAUUCCCACUUCCUCUCUCUUUAGAGACUAAGCAAGGACCUCUCCCAGAGGACACAAUCUCCGCACUAAGCUCUCAGGCAGCCGGGAUUGCAAGAAGGAAGAGCAGAGAAAUGAGCCUCCAGAGCGGGAUCCCAAGGGUGUCUCCAGGUGGCUGUGGGUACUGCUUGCUCUGCUGGUUGCUGUCCAAAUCUGGUGCUCAGUGGAGGCAGAGGUGUGGGCCUCGGGGGAGCAGAGGCCGCCAGUGCUGCCAGGGGCCUUUCAUUACUCAUUGCUAAUUGUGGCAAAUGGGGAUUUUAUUGCUCCCUUGGCCCUCACUGUGAGCUACAGCAGCUCCUUGACAAGGAGGUGGAAGACCAGCCUGGGAGACCCUGCCUGGCUGCUGCAUUCAGCCCUGCACACGAGCCUGGGUCCAACAGCCAUCUGGAUGAGGUGGUGGGAGUCCUCAGCAUGGGCCAUUCAUAUUGAGAUAACACCCGGACACCCACGGCUCUCAGUAAGUGCUCACUGCUCUGCUGUAUUGGUGGUUCCUGCAGAGCUGCAGAGAGGACAGGGACUCCUCACUAUCCCAUAAGAGAAGCCAAGCCCAGAUGUGAGCUGGACGAGUUCCGUUGGGACUAAUGAUGACUGUUGGCAUAAAAACACAUCACCCGUGCUGGAGGACUCGCAGUCAUCCCACCCAGACCUGGGUCUCCUCCCCAAACUCUUCCUCCGUGGAAGCAACCCCUGCCGUCCUCCUGGGUGCCCUCUCU